This 253-nucleotide ribosomal RNA is filed under the name uncultured bacterium. Its description in RNAcentral is "partial 16S ribosomal RNA". It matches the Rfam family "Bacterial small subunit ribosomal RNA", at positions 524 to 776 of the family's 1533-position model. The record is from RNAcentral.
UACGGAGGGGGCAAGCGUUAUUCGGAAUUACUGGGCGUAAAGCGUCCGCAGGCGGCGCACCCAGUCAGGGGUGAAAUACUGGGGCUCAACCCGGGACAGGCCGUUGAGACUGGUCUACUCGAGUGUGGGAGAGGUAGGUGGAAUUCCCGGUGUAGAGGUGAAAUGCGUAGAGAUUGGGAAGAACACCAGUGGCGAAGGCGGUCCACUGGCCCGGAACUGACGCUGAGGGACGACAGCUAGGGGAGCGAAUAGG